CUAAAAUAGUUGGGAUCCUUGC
RNAcentral lists this non-coding RNA (22 nucleotides) under Rattus norvegicus (Norway rat). Lineage: Eukaryota; Metazoa; Chordata; Mammalia; Rodentia; Muridae. The record is from RNAcentral.